This 808-nucleotide long non-coding RNA is filed under the name Marmota monax (woodchuck). Lineage: Eukaryota; Metazoa; Chordata; Mammalia; Rodentia; Sciuridae. The record is from RNAcentral.
UAUGGAUCCGAAUUUUUUUUAUUAUUCUCGUGAUUUUAAUAGUUUAAUUUAAUUUGGGUAAACAGCUGUUGAGGAUUGUUUUAAUAUAUGAACAAAUAGGAGGUUAACAGAUCUGUUUGUUUACUUUCACCUUUCCUUUUCAUUAUAUUUAAUAAUUCUGUUCAGGAUAAUGUAAAUUGUUCUAAAAAUUGUUUUCUUAGUACCUGUUGAAAUGUUACAUAUUUUUUUUUAGCAUCAUUGUCAGAAUUCCUAUUUUCAUCCCAGUGCCGGUGAAGACAAAGAUGAAACCAAACUACAACUUCUUCGAGAGUUAUCACAACAAACUGUAUAAACUGAUACAUCAAUGAUUAAUAACUCAACAAGUAAUGCUCAAUCAAUGAAUCGAUUUAUUUUGAGAGGAUAUUGACAUAUUGAUAGAUUCCUCCGCUUUGAACUGCUUACAGAACUUGCCUGGACUAUGUAUCACUUGUAUGCAUUGUGAUCUAUCUGUUGAUGCAGCGAAUUAUGGUAGUGCUAGCGUAUCUUUGCUGAUGUGUCACCAGUGAUGCAAUUUUUCCUAGGAGCCAUCAAUUGACUUGGUGUCAUGGCAUUUCUGUAUCCUCCUCCCUUCUACUAGUGAUGGUCUAAUUUGGGUGGCCAACAGAGGUGAGGCAAAGAACCUCACCCCCCCCACUGGUUCAUAGGCCUAUCCACAAGUAUGGCUAUAUGCUGGACUGGUAGUCAGUGACGGGUAUGAUCCAAUUGCAGUGUUAUCAACCUAAGACAGGAGGCUGAUGCCUAGAAGUCAGUUUUCCAAUGACGGGUAAGA